GGGGAAUAUUGGACAAUGGGCGCAAGCCUGAUCCAGCCAUGCCGCGUGAGUGAUGAAGGCCCUAGGGUUGUAAAGCUCUUUUGUGCGGGAAGAUAAUGACGGUACCGCAAGAAUAAGCCCCGGCUAACUUCGUGCCAGCAGCCGCGGUAAUACGAAGGGGGCUAGCGUUGCUCGGAAUCACUGGGCGUAAAGGGUGCGUGGGCGGGUCUUUAAGUCAGGGGUGAAAUCCUGGAGCUCAACUCCAGAACUGCCUUUGAUACUGAGGAUCUUGAGUUCGGGAGAGGUGAGUGGAACUGCGAGUGUAGAGGUGAAAUUCGUAGAUAUUCGCAAGAACACCAGUGGCGAAGGCGGCUCACUGGCCCGAUACUGACGCUGAGGCACGAAAGCGUGGGGAGCAAACA
RNAcentral lists this ribosomal RNA (401 nucleotides) under uncultured bacterium. RNAcentral describes it as "bacterial SSU rRNA". It matches the Rfam family "Bacterial small subunit ribosomal RNA", at positions 356 to 774 of the family's 1533-position model. The record is from RNAcentral.